Long non-coding RNA from Platichthys flesus (European flounder), 631 nucleotides. RefSeq lists it as uncharacterized. Lineage: Eukaryota; Metazoa; Chordata; Actinopteri; Pleuronectiformes; Pleuronectidae. The record is from RefSeq and is a predicted model, not a curated record. The transcript has 3 exons.
UGCAAGCUGCUCGGUCCACUCGUAGGUUCAUGUCGGCGGAUCCCCGUCGAUUCACUCGACACAAACCAUGGCUGGCUGUGCAGUUCAUUGUACUAACAGACCGUCUCACAGCUCUGUUGUCAAGUUCUUCCGUUUUCCUCUAGGUGAUCCUGAGAGGUUAGACCUGUGGGUGAUCAACAUGAAGAGACAGAACUGGAUUCCGAGUCUCUGCAGUCAACAUUUUGAGAGACAACACUCGAGCAUUGACAAAAGGGUACACAGAAAUGCUUUAAUAACUUCUGAGAAAUCAAGGAACUUGAUUGUUACAUGGCAACUACAAUUUUAUCAUGAUCUGUGUACUGUACAUUUCUACUCUAUUUACAAUGAAUUUUUUUAUACACAUAUCGGUGUGUUUUCGAGUUUGACUCAGACAGCCUGCACCAGUGGAUGUCCAACAUGAGGAGACAGAACAGGACUCCAACAAGAUUGAACACUAAGUGUCAUCACCUAUGCACUGACUCCAGUUGCAGGCAAUCUUUAGUUGAGGGAGAAAACAUGAAGUGUUGGGCCGAUGAAGCUUGUGCAGGUCGUACUCGUGUUGACCACCCUGAAGCUGCCGAUCUCCACCAUGUUGCUGCUAAGGACAGAUCCG